Non-coding RNA from Pelodiscus sinensis (Chinese soft-shelled turtle), 3433 nucleotides. The record is from RefSeq and is a predicted model, not a curated record. NCBI's taxonomy places the organism in Eukaryota, Metazoa, Chordata, Testudines, Trionychidae.
GGGGGGAAGGCGGGAGAUGCAACCUCAGCAACAACUUGCCAUAUGAACGGCUUUCAGUCGUGGACUGUGCAUGAGUUAAUCCUAUUUGCUGCUCUCUCUGCAGAGGCAAUGCCUUGCAGCAGUGGUCUCCAACCUUGUUAAGCACAAGAUCCUUUUUUUGAACUUGUCAGUCCAAGAUCUACCUCAAAGGAGGAUACAUUUGUCCCCCCUUCCCUGCCCUGCUCCACUCCUUUGCCGAGGCCGCACCUUUCUCACUCUGAAGGUGGGGUCACUCUGUGAAGAUGGGGUACAGGGGAAGGGGAUGGAGUGACAUCAAUGCCCUUUGUCUGCUCCAUUCUGCACAACAAGUAGGGGGCUCUGGGCAGGAGCAGCUGAAGUGCAGCCACUUGAUAGCCUCCCAGCCAAGCCAGUCAGGAUUACUUGUCAGAGGCUCCAAGAUUUGCUGGUAGAUCCUGAUCUACUGGUUAGUGACCAUUGCCUUGCAGGCACCAGUGGUCUGAGUUUAACUCCUUACUGGCAUGCAUGACAAAGCCUUGACUGGAGGAACCACCCUUCUGGGUGCAAGUCUGAGUCACCGUGAUCCUUAACUGCUGCCUAUUCUUAAUACUGUAAGGACACAGUAUUUUGUUGUGGUAUCUUUUGUAGUUUGUCCACUAUAAAAUGGACCUAAGCCCUCAACUAGCUAUCAGGUAGUGGAAUAUUUAUCGUAUGUAACAGUCCUCUAUUUUCUUAAGCCAUCCAAGUAAAGUGUUGGUUCAAGAAGUGUUGUUUGCUGUUCACUUAAUGUUUACUUGACACAUGUCCAGUGAUUAAAACCUUUUCACUGCUGUUCACAUCAUGAUCUGCUGUGAUUAGUAUCUGUUUGGAUGAGGAUAUGUGUGUUUAAAAACUGGCAUAAGGUGCAGACAUCACUUAGGUGUAAGGCUGAAUAAAGGUAGUAGGUAUUACUAAUGCAAAUAAUUGUUGCUGCCAAUGUGUGAUUUGUAUUGCUGUAGUUUUAGGACGAAAAAAAUCACUGUGUAAAUAUAUGUUCUUAUUUCCUUAAGAAUUGUUCUGACCAGAUCUGCCGUUCCAGCUUGGAUUCUGGAUGUUCAUAUUGCCUAUUUGUUCAGGAAGAAGCAGUAAUUCCAUUAAGUCUAAACUGCUUAUAGAAGAAAGGAUUUGGCAACUUGGAAGUGAAUUGCAAGAAGGUUGGAAGGGCCCAGAGCUGUAAACUGAUCAUGGUAUGUGUAAGUAGCCCUUUUCUCUGUGUGGUGUUUAGGGAUGACAAAUCCCAUUUAAUUAGUUAACUUGUCAAACUUACUUUAACCAGCUAACCAAUUAAAUGGGUGGGUGGGGGCUGGAGCACCCCCUGCCUUUGGUGUGUACUGCUGAGCUGGAGCAGCCUGCAGCAGGCCCCACCUGUUAAAUCAUAACUGGUAAGCCACACCAAUUAAGGUGAAGUUACCGGUUAACCUUUUACAUCCAUACUGGUGUUGCUGAGGGAAUUGCUAGUGAAGCUGAAGUUGGGAGAUAGGAAGGAGCAAUAAUGGUCACUGUUCAUCUCCUUGGUCAGAUAUCUUGUUCCCCCACCAGCAACUGCCUCUCUAAGUGGAUUCCCCCCGCCCCGCCUAUGAACUAGUGGCUUGUUUUUCUGCAAGCCCCAGAGUGUGCCUACACAAAGGGAAUUUUUCUGUCAAUGUACCAAUACCACCUCAAUUAAUUACUUUUAUGUUGACAUAGGUGCAUCUACACUUGGUGUAUUAUUGAUGUAGCUAUGUCAGUCCUGCAUGUGUCUGGUUUCUUUCCACACCCCUGACGUAACUGAGUCAAAAUAAAAAAGUAUAGAUCAAGUACCAAAUAUCAGAGAACCCACCUCACCCCAUUUAAUCCGUGAGUCCCUUACACUUAACAUUGAACCAGUUAACUAAUUAAGCAGGAUUUUACAGCCUUAUUUCCUGCUUUGAGUAGGUAAAAGUUGCUCACGCUGUGGUUCCACACCUAAGAAAUAGAAAUUUCUAUGGGUGAGGGAGCACAAAAUACUGUAAAAGGUGAAAAUGAAAUACCUGGAACUAUGGAAAUAAAAUUGUCAACCUUAGAGUUAGAGCCCCCAAAUUUUAAAUGUGAUUAGAGAGUAAUUAACUUUAUUUUCUCCAACUUUCGAACUUGAUUGAGAAUGUAGAGCAAGAUGAACAUGGUAAAUUAUUUUUAAUGUAUUAGGUUUUUGCCUACUGUCCAAUGAUUAAAACUUUUCACUGCUGUUCACAUCAUGACUCACUGUGAUUAGUAUUUGACUGGAUGAGGACAAGAGGUAAAAAAUUCAAAACGAGAUUUUUAAAAGCAUGUAAAAGUAAUUGCAUAUUAGGAGAUACAGAAUUGUAUUUUAUGUAAUUUAUUUUGUUUGCAUACCCAACAAAAGAACUUGUACUUUUCCUCCCUGGGAAAUUAUUGCUCUUCAAAUUAUGAAAGGUAAACUGAGACCAUUCUGACUACACUUGUUGCCAUGUGGGUAAAUUUUAACACUUUGUUAAUGUCUUAAGUUUGCUGAUUCAGUUUGUGCCUAGGUAUAAGUAUCUUAGAACAGUGCUCUAGAGUAUCUCAGUGCAACUUGGAUCUGACCUUAUUUCUGAUUCUAAAUUCCUGUGACUCUUGUUAGAUCUAUCAUGUUUCUUAGUUGUCUAAUUUCUUUUCUCUCAAUGUUAUUAAUAUUUUAACAUGAUAAUUUUGUUAGAUAUAAUGUCUUGAAAAUGACAGUGGGCUAAUUUAAAAUCUGAACCAGACAAUAAUGAGCAUGCUUUCUGAAAUAUAUCUGUAAACAUUUCAUCAGUCUGUCUUAAGAUAUAAAAUAUUGUUUAAACACUUCUGGGUGGACCUCCUAGUUGUGGUUGUAAGGGCUGAGGGCUUUACUGUUCCAUUACUGAGCUUGGUAACUUGGAGAGACAAGAUGAGUGAUAAACUUUUAGAUGAAUUACUGUUGCAGAAAGACAAUCUUUCAGGCUUAUAACAGAGUGGCUUUUCAAGUCUGGGGAACUUAAGCCCUCAACUUCAGUAAAUCUUCCUAUUAAGAGAAGACUCUUACAAAUGUAGAGAAGGAGAUGUUGAUUUUCGUUAAAUAAUACCUAUAUCUAUAUUGCCAAAGAUCUAAUUUUUUUUUUACUUUUCAGGUAAUUGUGAAAAUUUUCUGUUCCAUCUGAAUUUCUAUUUUAAGCUCUAGUGAAGAUGGUUGAAAAUUGAAUUAACCUCCACAGUGGAAAAGGAAAGCAAUGAGUACCUGACUGAUUUUGGAAUGUUUUUAGUGGAAAAGGUAGUGAUCAAGACAAGAAAUUAGUCUCUUAAAGUACUUGUUUCAACAGCAACUUGUGAAUCUUGUGGGAGCUUGCUUUUUUUCGGAUACUGUUAUAAAUGCUCUUCAGUUUUAUUAAUAAACAUGAUACACUGCCCUUGAGUUUUUAAA